GCGAACGGGUGAGUAACACGUGGGCAAUCUGCCCUGCACUCUGGGAUAACUCCGGGAAACCGGAGCUAAUACCGGAUAUGAUCCUCCAGGGCAUCCUGGGGGGUGGAAAGCUCCGGCGGUGCAGGAUGAGCCCGCGGCCUAUCAGCUGGUUGGUGGGGUGACGGCCCACCAAGGCGACGACGGGUAGCCGGCCUGAGAGGGCGACCGGCCACACUGGGACUGAGACACGGCCCAGACUCCUACGGGAGGCAGCAGUGGGGAAUAUUGCACAAUGGGCGCAAGCCUGAUGCAGCGACGCCGCGUGAGGGAUGACGGCCUUCGGGUUGUAAACCUCUUUCAGCAGGGAAGAAGCGGAAGUGACGGUACCUGCAGAAGAAGCACCGGCUAACUACGUGCCAGCAGCCGCGGUAAUACGUGGAGGCACGUGCGAGCGUUGUCCGGAAUUAUUGGGCGUAAAGAGCUCG
This 464-nucleotide ribosomal RNA is filed under the name Streptomyces sp. RNAcentral's name for it is "bacterial SSU rRNA". It matches the Rfam family "Bacterial small subunit ribosomal RNA", at positions 98 to 571 of the family's 1533-position model. Lineage: Bacteria; Bacillati; Actinomycetota; Actinomycetes; Kitasatosporales; Streptomycetaceae. The record is from RNAcentral.